Molecule: ribosomal RNA, 486 nt
Filed under: Triticum aestivum (bread wheat)
Lineage: Eukaryota; Viridiplantae; Streptophyta; Magnoliopsida; Poales; Poaceae
Description: partial small subunit ribosomal RNA
Source: RNAcentral
AUGGUUAUAACGCUGUGGUCAUUAUGGUAUGCUAGAAGGAAGGCUAUAUAUGAAUCGAUUUUUCAGAGCCCUCAACAAACGGCGUCCUUUAUCAAUAACUACAUAGAUGAGCUGGGCCAAGUGAACGCUAAGGGAGUGCAGGAAGGUACUCCUAGUGUUGCACCACCACGACCGAAGCAGUGGCUUCGCCCACUGAGUGGUAAUGCGAAGAUUAAUGUUGAUGGGGCUGUGGUGAAAACACGGAGAGGUGGAGCUGUUGCAGCUUUAUGCCGCGACCAAGACGGACAAUACUUGGGGUCAUCGGCGGUGGUUUAUUAUGGGAACACUGAUUCCUUAAUGUUGGAGACUUAUGCAUGCCGCGAGGCCCAAGCUUUGGCGGACGAUCUGGGAGAGCAGAAGGUCUGCGUGGUCUCGGACUGCCAAGAGGCGGUGAAUGACAUAAACAGGGAACAGAAGGCCCCAAUGUUGUGUCGGUACAUGAAAUAA